AGCAAAUUUACCCUGGCAGCAUAUGGGUGAAAACGCUGAAGGAGAAAGUAAUCGCUUUGUUAUUGGCCCUUGGACGCCCCUGGUAUCUCGUGUACAACACAAAGUAUUCAGCUAUGAAGAGACUCCAGAAUGAAAACCAAGCCCUGAGGGAGGAGAACCAAUUAAGCCCUGAGGGAAUGCAAUGCACAAACAGGUGAGAAUGUGCACUCAUUCUUACAUUUAACGUUUUUGUGUGUAAUGUAGGUUCAGAAUUACCAUAUGCCUUUCAUUUUGUAGCUUCGGA
Long non-coding RNA from Esox lucius (northern pike), 283 nucleotides. RefSeq lists it as uncharacterized. The transcript is spliced from 3 exons. NCBI's taxonomy places the organism in Eukaryota, Metazoa, Chordata, Actinopteri, Esociformes, Esocidae. The record is from RefSeq and is a predicted model, not a curated record.